CCUACGGGUGGCAGCAGUGAGGAAUAUUGGUCAAUGGCCGGGAGCCUGAACCAGCCAAGUCGCGUGAGGGAUGACGGCCCUACGGGUUGUAAACUUCUUUUGUACGGGAAUAAGGUGUGGGACGCGUCCUGUUUUGAGUGUACCUGAUGAAUAAGGAUCGGCUAACUCCGUGCCAGCAGCCGCGGUAAUACGGAGGAUCCGAGCGUUAUCCGGAUUUAUUGGGUUUAAAGGGUGCGUAGGUGGAAGGAUAAGUCAGGUGUAAAAGGUUGGGGCUCAACCCCGACACUGCAUUUGAUACUGGCAGUCUUGAGUACAGGAGAGGUAGGCGGAAUGCGUGGUGUAGCGGUGAAAUGCUUAGAUAUCACGAAGAACUCCGAUUGCGAAGGCAGCUUACUGGACCGCAACUGACGCUGAGGCACGAAAGCGUGGGUAUCGAACAGGAUUAGAUACCCGAGUAGUC
Molecule: ribosomal RNA, 460 nt
Filed under: uncultured bacterium
Lineage: Bacteria
Description: partial 16S ribosomal RNA
Rfam family: Bacterial small subunit ribosomal RNA
Source: RNAcentral